UGGUCGAGGGGGAGAGGUCAGACUAAGACAGGUACCCUGGUCCUCCAGGUUGGGGGUUGGUCGCAAGGCUAACAACCUUGCACCGUAAAAAGGAAGAUCAAAGCCUCCGACAGAAUGGAAGAGGGGAGUUGAGGAGGCCAUAGAAGAAGAAGUGCCAAUCAUGCUGGAUUAGCCCCUGCCGAUAUAAGUCGUCAUAUCACACGUGAUCUUCUGUUAAAACUGAAACAAACAGACUGAAAACCUGAGAUCCGUUCUGCUGCAACGGAUUGUGUCAAUGCUUGGGGUCAGCAGUGCGGAUUUAAGGAGUUCUUUCGUGGUAAUAUGAUUGAAUAUGCCCUUAAGAGAGGAAGCCCAACCCUGCGAAUAGAACUUUGGGCAUGGCUUACAGAAAUACUUGCCACAUUGUCACCCAGGUCUGUCCCUGAGAAAAAAUUGUUGGCAUAUCUACCACACUUGUAUGCAGAUGUGAGGAAAAAUGCCGAGGAGGCUAUCGUUCCAUUUAUGAUACGCUUGGGACAUGAGACAAUGGUCAAAACCUCAGAGGAAUUGAAA
Molecule: non-coding RNA, 552 nt
Organism: Zootermopsis nevadensis
Lineage: Eukaryota; Metazoa; Arthropoda; Insecta; Blattodea; Termopsidae
Source: RefSeq, a predicted model, not a curated record